GCGAAGGUGGCGGAAUUGGUAGACGCACCAGAUUUAGGUUCUGGCGCCGUAAGGCGUGGGGGUUCGAGUCCCCCCUUUCGCACCA
RNAcentral lists this transfer RNA (85 nucleotides) under Nitrosomonas sp. RNAcentral describes it as "tRNA-Leu". It matches the Rfam family "tRNA". Rfam says of the family: Transfer RNA (tRNA) molecules are approximately 80 nucleotides in length. Their secondary structure includes four short double-helical elements and three loops (D, anti-codon, and T loops). Lineage: Bacteria; Pseudomonadati; Pseudomonadota; Betaproteobacteria; Nitrosomonadales; Nitrosomonadaceae. The record is from RNAcentral.